Amphiprion ocellaris (clown anemonefish) is the source of this 3059-nucleotide long non-coding RNA. The record is from Ensembl. NCBI's taxonomy places the organism in Eukaryota, Metazoa, Chordata, Actinopteri, Pomacentridae.
GAUAAAUCUGUGUUUAAGAAGCUCCAGUUUAGAGACUUUCAUGAGAAGCAGAGAGAAAAGAGAGACGGAGCGGACUGAUGGUGGAAAUUAGAUGGAAUAAAAUGUUUCUUCUAUUGAUGCUGGUGCUUCAGUUCAGCGGAGCUCUGACCAGACAGCUUGACCUCUUCUCCACUGUCAGAGAUGGAGAUAAAGCCACUUUGUCUUGUGAGAAUGUAAUGGAUGAUCAUCAUAACUGUGACAAAACCACCUGGGUCUUCAGUAAUUCAAAAAUACCAUUAGCAGUAGAGCUGGUUACUCUUGGACAAAUUAAGAAUAAGACCAACAAAGACAGACUGAAUGUUACAGCAAAUUGUUCUCUGGUUAUAAAGAAAGUUACAGUUGAGGAUGCUGGUCAUUACUCCUGCAGACAAUAUAUAUCAGAGAAAGAAUUUCAAGAUGCUUGGGUUGAUCUGUCUGUUGUUACUGUGACUGAACAUAAAGACACUGAUCUGGUGACUCUAAACUGCUCUGUGACGACAAACAGACAAUGCAGACACACAGUGAAGUGGCUUUUUAAGGGUCAAGCUGUGGAUAAUGACAACCCAAACAUAAAGACAUCACAGUCUUCCUGCUCUGUUACUGUGAGCUUUGUGAAUAAUUUUUGGGGAUCAUCAAUACCAUAUCAUGACUGGUUUAAAUGUAGUGUAUCUACAGAGACUAAAAAAGAGCCACUGACCUUCAGUCUUCGUCCAUCAGGUGAGGACACAAAAACAACAACAACAACAACUGCAAAUAACACAAAAGGUGAUACAACCACAACAGGAUCUUCAUUCAGUGAUACACCAAAUCUCUGGUGGCUGUACAUUGUUGUGCCUGUAGUUGCAGUAGCACUUUUGAUAAUUGCUGUGAAAGUCACCAGAUCGAGGAGAACUAAAGGGAAAAACACACAAAGAAAUGGCAAUGUUGCCCUGACUUCAGAUCCUGCAGUGGCUCAGUCUGCACCUGAAAUCAGUCAGGACAUGGCUGAUCCUGAGGAUGGUGUUUCCUACGCCUCCAUCAGCUACACCAAGAAAGCCAACAGUAAAGCCAAGAUUCGGAGUAAAAAAGAUGACGAUGACACAGUAACCUACUCCACAGUGAAGGCUUCCUCACCUGAUCCCAGCAGCCUCUAUGCCACCAUCUACAAUCCCAACUCAGGUCCUUAGAUCACCGCUUCUGUUCAGAGCUUCUAAUCUAAAGUGUUGGGUCAUAACUACAGUGGCACAGUUUAAAAAGCAGAAGUCAAACCACAACAUUUUUACUGAAGGUUGCUUAAAAUGCUUCAUGAACUGUGUGAAUGUUGGGUUUAUUUUGGGUUUAUUUUUCAAGGUUUAGCAUAUAGUUUAUUUUCAAAAUAUAUAUUGACUGUAUUCUUCUGCAAAUGUAAUAAUUUAUCUACAUGAAGAUUAGUUUGAUAGCCUAUAACCUAAGUUUGAUAACCUAUCAUUAUCUGAUAUGCAGUACUUUGGUCAUUUCUGAAAUGAAUCAUUGUGAAAACGUUUGUAAGAAGGAUGUCAUGCAUCUAAGAAUGUGAGAAAUAGCCACCGAUAAUUAAUUUGAGGAAGUGGCUGAUUCUCUUUAAGAACCUACUAGUUUAGAGACGUUUGAGGACAAAAGAGGAAAGACAGACAGAAACGCAGAUGGUUAAAUUCAGAUGGAUUAAAAUGUCAUUAUUUCAUGUGGUGGCUAAUGGCAGAUGUGAUUUUUUGGAAAUACUUACAUUUGUCCCUUAAAAAUGGCCUUUGCACAAGGAUCAAAUGUGAACAUUGUUAGGCUCAUGUAUUAUGUUGCUGUGAUGCCACCUGUAGGUGAAAUGUCAGUUUACACACCAAGAGCAACCAAAUCAGUAAUUUUAUUUAGAUGGAACCUCAUCAUGGGCCUAUGUUAUUUAAUAAUGAAGUUUACAAAAUAGAGAGACUUUAUAGAAUAGAAAUGAUUACUUAAAAGCCAAGGAAAAAGAACUGUUUUUAGUUUAUGUCUAAAAAUUGCAACAUUUUGGGCAGAUCUGAGUUCUAAGGGGAACUGGUUGCAGCAGCAGCAGGCAGAAAAAUGACUACACACUUAUUACCACUUCAUCAUGUCUGAUCUGAACUCACCAGUCCCUGCAGAUCCGUGAGAGCUUCUGGGCCUUAGCAAACAAUUCUUCAAUAUAUUUCAGGCCCAGAUCAAACAGAAACUAGUGGACAAAAGGUAUUGCCUUAAGUUCAGCUCUAUAUUUAACUGGAAGCAAGUGAAGUGACCUGGGUAUUGAAGUAGUGUGUUCUCCUUUGUUGGUGUUUGUCGGUAUUCUAGCAGCAGCAUUUCCAAAGGUUUCAAAUGCCUAAAGGUCUUAUUUUGGAGGCCAUUAAGAAGUGCAUUAUGGUAGUCCAUUCUACAGAUAAUGAAAGCAUGAAUGGGAUUUUCUAAAUCUUAUUUAAUUUAGUUACAGCUUUGAUGUUUAGAUCUUAAUCAAUGACUACACCAAGACUGUUGUCUUUUUUAUUACUGCCCUGCACUCGUGGUAAGCUCUGAGAGCCAGGAGAGCUGAUAUGUCUACCAGUCAUUUUAAACUUUGCAGUUUUGUGUUAAAGAAGUAUUUAGGUCUGUUUUUAUUAUAUAAGCAAAAUACAUUUAAAUGUAACAGUAAAAGUUACCAGCUUGUUGGAAAAAUUACCUUUAUCAAUGUUAUAGUUUUCUAUGUUGUGUUAAAGAGAUUUUAAGUGAUGCAUUAUAAUUAGCCAGCUGCAACAGAGCUCACUUUAUGUAGUAUUUAUAUUCCUAGUUUAAUUUACUGGAUAACAAUGCUCUGUGUUUUAUUUGCUCUUUGUGUGGUUAUCUGAAAUUCAUGUUGGAGCUAAAGUCAGAGAAAAUCAGAGUUUUAGAAACGGGUUAAAAUUAUUAGUUAAUCUUAAAUAUAAGUAGCAAGUCUAUAUUUAUCAAAGUUACUUGUGAGGUGGCAACUUCACCUCUAUAUGUGUGUGUGUAUGUGUGUGUGUGCAUUACUUGUAAUUGAUGCAAUUAUUAAAGUCAUAUCAAGUUUACCACAGCUGUGUGACCGGUGG